GGGGUCUUCCAUCACGAUUACGUCUUUGAAGAGAGCAAGUUUUUAGGACAGCUCAUUUUGUGUUAUAAUAAUAAAAAUUAGGGAAAUUUUCCCUAAAAAAAUUAUGGGAUGUCGCAGGUUCGCUAAUGUAAUAAUUGCUCGAAAAUUUCCAUGUGAGCAUUGAUGUGUGAGCAUUGCUUCUAUCAUUAUCAUGUAUCAUAUUCAUGGGCAGUGGAGAUGGGGCGGUGGAAGGGCCCUUUGCUUCUAUCAUUAUCAUUUAUCAUAUUCAUGGGCCGUGGAGAUGGGUUGGUGGGAUGCUUUUAAUUAGUGAAAUGGUUUUUAUUUUGCCAAGGUUGUUUCCCUCCUACCAAUAAAAUUAAUUUUCUUUUCUUUUCAGAAAGAGUUGGCAAAAGUUUGAAUUUAUAGGCUUUAAAUUCA
This 417-nucleotide unclassified non-coding RNA is filed under the name Hevea brasiliensis (rubber tree). The record is from RNAcentral. Lineage: Eukaryota; Viridiplantae; Streptophyta; Magnoliopsida; Malpighiales; Euphorbiaceae.